RNAcentral lists this microRNA precursor (102 nucleotides) under Marmota monax (woodchuck). Lineage: Eukaryota; Metazoa; Chordata; Mammalia; Rodentia; Sciuridae. The record is from RNAcentral.
AGUAGAAUAGCUGGGUCAAAUGGUGGUUCCAUUCCAAGUUUUUUGAGGAAUAUCUUCCUGUUUUCCAUAAUGGUUGCACCAAUUUGUAUUCCCACCAACAAU